RNAcentral lists this ribosomal RNA (254 nucleotides) under uncultured bacterium. RNAcentral's name for it is "partial 16S ribosomal RNA". It matches the Rfam family "Bacterial small subunit ribosomal RNA", at positions 524 to 776 of the family's 1533-position model. The record is from RNAcentral.
UACGUAGGCAGCAAGCGUUGUUCGGAGUUACUGGGCGUAAAGGGUGUGUAGGCGGUUCUUUAAGUUUGCUGUGAAAUCUCCCGGCUUAACCGGGAGGGUGCGGUGAAUACUGGAGGGACUAGAGUACGGGAGAGGAAAGUGGAAUUCCUGGUGUAGCGGUGAAAUGCGUAGAUAUCAGGAGGAACACCGGUGGUGUAGACGGCUUUCUGGACCGUAACUGACGCUGAGACACGAAAGCGUGGGUAGCAAACAGG